CCAUCUCCGCCAGUCCCUACCAGCAGCAGCAACCAACCACACCUGCAGACUCUGCUGGCUUCCUCCGCUCAUUGCAGCGGCCCUACCUCCGCCCAACUCACCUCCGCUGGCCACCACCGCCGAACUCGGAGCUCCAAGUCUGCUGAACUUCGGACCUCCGCUGAACUCAUGGUCUCCGCCGAGCUCUAGCUCUCUACUGAGCUCCGAGUCUCCGCCGAUCCCCAUCUCUCCACUGAGCUCGGUGAUCUCCGCCAAGCUCCAGGUGAAUGCCAAGCUCAGCCGAGCAUCACCGCUGGCCAAACACCACAGGCGGCCACCGCCUGCACAACCCAGCGGUAACCCACCGCCAGCUCAAACUUCAGUAGGUACCCGCCAACCUCUAGGUACAACUCCGCCGGCACCGACGGUUACCAGCUCCGCUUGCCUUCCCAGCUCCGGCAGCAACCUCGGUGGCUCCGCUAGGACCCAGUCAGCGGC
This 477-nucleotide long non-coding RNA is filed under the name Rosa chinensis. Its description in RNAcentral is "sRNA RchiOBHm_Chr6g0276841". The record is from RNAcentral. Lineage: Eukaryota; Viridiplantae; Streptophyta; Magnoliopsida; Rosales; Rosaceae.